GGCACUGUAGCUCAGUUGGUAGAGCACAUGCUUAACAUUAUCUCAAUGGAACGCAUGUUGUCGUCGGUUCGAGCCCGGCCAGAGUCA
This 87-nucleotide transfer RNA is filed under the name Puccinia graminis f. sp. tritici. It matches the Rfam family "tRNA". From Rfam's summary of the family: Transfer RNA (tRNA) molecules are approximately 80 nucleotides in length. Their secondary structure includes four short double-helical elements and three loops (D, anti-codon, and T loops). Further hydrogen bonds mediate the characteristic L-shaped molecular structure. tRNAs have two regions of fundamental functional importance: the anti-codon, which is responsible for specific mRNA codon recognition, and the 3' end, to which the tRNAs corresponding amino acid is attached (by aminoacyl-tRNA synthetases). tRNAs cope with the degeneracy of the genetic code in two manners: having more than one tRNA (with a specific anti-codon) for a particular amino acid; and 'wobble' base-pairing, i.e. permitting non-standard base-pairing at the 3rd anti-codon position. Lineage: Eukaryota; Fungi; Basidiomycota; Pucciniomycetes; Pucciniales; Pucciniaceae. The record is from Rfam by way of RNAcentral.